UACGGAGGGUGCGAACGUUAAUCGGAAUCACUGGGCGUAAAGGGCGCGUAGGUGGCGCGGGUAGUCGUCGGUGAAAGCUCAGGGCUCAACCCUGAGUCGGCCGGUGAUACUCCCGUGCUUGAGUGUGGUAGAGGCCAAUGGAAUUCCGGGUGUAGCGGUGGAAUGCGUAGAGAUCCGGAAGAACACCGGUGGCGAAGGCGGUUGGCUGGGCCACAACUGACACUGAUGCGCGACAGCGUGGGGAGCAAACAGG
This 253-nucleotide ribosomal RNA is filed under the name uncultured bacterium. RNAcentral describes it as "partial 16S ribosomal RNA". It matches the Rfam family "Bacterial small subunit ribosomal RNA", at positions 524 to 776 of the family's 1533-position model. The record is from RNAcentral.